RNAcentral lists this long non-coding RNA (909 nucleotides) under Mytilus galloprovincialis (Mediterranean mussel). The record is from RNAcentral. Lineage: Eukaryota; Metazoa; Mollusca; Bivalvia; Mytilida; Mytilidae.
CGAAAGACUUUCGUGAAGUAGCUAUUAAUUUUAUAGAUCCGCUUACUUCUAUUUAAUAUAACAAUGAAAACAAAAGUAGUAUGCAAUACAGACGAUCUGUCUAUGUAUAAAUUAAUUUAAGGGAACAAUAUUUCACCAAUGUUCAAACCUCGUAAGUCGAUUUGUCACACACACUGGUAGAAUCGCGUGAACUCCAUGAACGCACGAGCUAGACCAAGAACGUAGACGUGGUUAUCUUCUCCUUCUUUGCAUUCAUGCACAUGUUUUACCUAUAAAACAACCAAAACGAAAACAAAUCAAAGCCAUAUAAACUGUAUGCCACAUUCCGAACAACAUAAUUAAAUUGAGAUAGAAAUAGGGAAUGUGUCAAAUAGACAACAAUCCGACCAAAUCAGAAAUAAAGGCAACAGUAGUAUACCGCUGUUCGAAAAACAGACCAUUUUUAUAGUUCAAGACUAGAUUCAUCUUAAAAGCAAAAUCGUGUUGAAUAAGAGAGAAACCUUUACAAUGUUUAUUACUCAUAUAUAUAUUGAUAUGUUCAUAAUUAUAAAUUAACUGUUAACAAAACUUUGAAUUUUUGAAAAACUAAGGCUUUUCUACCACAGGAAUAGAUUACCUUAGCUGUUUUUGGCAAAACUUUUAGGAAUAUUUGACCUUAAUGCUCUUCAUCUUCGUACUUUAUUUGGCCUUUUAUAACAUUUUUGAUUCGAGCGUCACUGAUGAGUCUUUUGUAGACGAAACGCGCGUCUGCCGUAAAUAUUAAAUUUUAUUCCUGAUAUUUAUGAUGAGUUUAUAUACAUACAUGCAGCGGAUACAGAAAAGUGAAACAUUCUUUAAAAAGUUCUACAACCAUCAAAAUCAAAGAAAUAAAAAUAAUGCACUUUAAUUCCAAGUUAUUUUCAAAUGGAG